UACGAGGGGUGCAAGCGUUGCUCGGAAUUAUUGGGCGUAAAGGGCAGGUAGGUGGUCUCAUUUGUCUGGGGUGAAAUCCUUGAGCUUAACUCAAGAAGUGCCCCAGAAACGGUGAGACUCGAGUCCUAGAGAGGGUCGUGGAAUUCCCGGUGUAGCGGUGAAAUGCGUAGAGAUCGGGAGGAACACCAGCGGCGAAGGCGGCGACCUGGAUAGGCACUGACACUCAACUGCGAAAGCGUGGGGAGCAAACAGG
RNAcentral lists this ribosomal RNA (253 nucleotides) under uncultured prokaryote. RNAcentral's name for it is "partial 16S ribosomal RNA". It matches the Rfam family "Bacterial small subunit ribosomal RNA", at positions 524 to 776 of the family's 1533-position model. The record is from RNAcentral.